UACGUAGGGGGCAAGCGUUAUCCGGAUUUACUGGGUGUAAAGGGAGCGUAGACGGCAUGGCAAGUCUGAUGUGAAAACUUGGGGCUCAACCCCAAGACUGCAUUGGAAACUGUUAAGCUAGAGUGCAGGAGAGGUAAGCGGAAUUCCUAGUGUAGCGGUGAAAUGCGUAGAUAUUAGGAGGAACACCAGUGGCGAAGGCGGCUUACUGGACUGUAACUGACGUUGAGGCUCGAAAGCGUGGGGAGCAAACAGG
RNAcentral lists this ribosomal RNA (253 nucleotides) under uncultured bacterium. RNAcentral describes it as "partial 16S ribosomal RNA". It matches the Rfam family "Bacterial small subunit ribosomal RNA", at positions 524 to 776 of the family's 1533-position model. The record is from RNAcentral.